AGUGAACGCUGGCGGUAGGCCUAACACAUGCAAGUCGAACGGCAGCACAGGAGAGCUUGCUCUCUGGGUGGCGAGUGGCGGACGGGUGAGGAAUACAUCGGAAUCUACUUUUUCGUGGGGGAUAACGUAGGGAAACUUACGCUAAUACCGCAUACGACCUACGGGUGAAAGCAGGGGAUCUUCGGACCUUGCGCGAUUGAAUGAGCCGAUGUCGGAUUAGCUAGUUGGAGGGGUAAAGGCCCAUCAAGGCGACGAUCCGUAGCUGGUCUGAGAGGAUCAUCAGCCACACUGGAACGGAGACACGGUCCAGGCUCCUACGGGAGGCAGCAGUGGGGAAUAUUGGACAAUGGGCGCAAGCCUGAUCCAGCCAUACCGCGUGGGUGAAGAAGGCCUGCGGGUUGUAAAGCCCUUUUGUUGGGAAAGAAAUCCAGCUGGUUAAUACCCGGUUGGGAUGACGGUACCCAAAGAAUAAGCACCGGCUAACUUCGUGCCAGCCGCCGCCGUAA
RNAcentral lists this ribosomal RNA (506 nucleotides) under uncultured bacterium. RNAcentral's name for it is "partial 16S ribosomal RNA". It matches the Rfam family "Bacterial small subunit ribosomal RNA", at positions 29 to 523 of the family's 1533-position model. The record is from RNAcentral.